This 561-nucleotide long non-coding RNA is filed under the name Callithrix jacchus (white-tufted-ear marmoset). RNAcentral's name for it is "lncRNA (ENSCJAG00000084094.1)". Lineage: Eukaryota; Metazoa; Chordata; Mammalia; Primates; Cebidae. The record is from RNAcentral.
GACAAAGCAAGAUGGGUUAAGACACAAUUUCCUUAAAUGUGCUUUGUCAAAAGUGGUUUUCCAUGGGUAAAUUCUCUCUUUUUCCAUGCUUUCUUCACUAACAAUUCUGCCUUUGAAAACAGCAAUAUUUACAGAAUUAUGAUCACUACAGUUGAAAUGGCUCUUAAAAUUCAUCCAGUUGUUUCAUCUUCCAGUGCAGGAAUGUGCCUCCCGUUGGUAUUGGCGAUGCUCUGCAAGGAGACUCAUGCAUCUGUGCAUCUCUGUGGAGUGAGAAGCCUCAGGCGGAAAUACAAGAAGAAGAGGGCCAUCUGAAAAUCUGGAAGAGUGUCUUCAUCAGAUACCAGAUCUGUCAACGCCUUGAACUUGGACUUCUCAGCCUUCAAAACUGUAAGAAAUAAGUGUUUGUUGCUUAAGCCACUAACUCUAUGGUAUUUUUGUUAUAGCAGUCCAAGCUGACAAAAAUAGAUAGGUAGGAUAUGACAUGAUGGGUGGAUGAAUGGAUGGGUGGAUCAAUGGAUCAAUCACUAUUCCCUAGGAUUAUUUUAUUGGUCUUAUGACAAA